Molecule: long non-coding RNA, 2230 nt
Organism: Sciurus carolinensis (gray squirrel)
Lineage: Eukaryota; Metazoa; Chordata; Mammalia; Rodentia; Sciuridae
Exons: 3
Source: RefSeq, a predicted model, not a curated record
CUUUGAACUUGUGAUCCUCCUACCUCAGCCUCCCAAGUCACUGGAAUUACAGCAGAGCCAGCCUGUGCUGAGAGACAGCUGUGGGGCAGUCCCUGUCUGUCACAGUCUUUGUCUUCCCUAAGGAGUGACCUAUUGCUUGAGAGGCCCCAUGGGGACUUCCAGAGCCACAGUGAGUGACUGGCCCCAAAGCUUUUACAAAAAACGCCCAUGCCAGCUUCUCAAGCAUUAUAGACAUCCCUGUGUAAUCCUCCUCAAAAUGCUACAGUAACUUAACAAAGCAAUGAUUUUUAAUAUAAGCUUGUGUGCCCACGGAGACAGAGUCCUCUUCAUCCUCUCAACACCUAGCAGCAUCCGGAGCAGAGAUUUUAAACUCAUCUCUGGAAUGGGCCGGCAUGGAAGGUCGUACUGUUCGAUUCUGCUCACCAUAGGCAAGACGCAAGUGGCAGACACUGACGGGCCGGCUGAAGCUGCCUGGAGUCACUCCUCAAGCGUCAAGACUUCCUGAUCCUCCUUCACACAUGCUUCAAGGUCACAGCCCAGACCAAAAUGUUUACCAAAAAAAUAGGCACUUAUAAAAAGGAAUCUCUGCCAGCUCCCUCACUAUGCUCUGUCUUCAACCAAGCUCAGCAAACCGAAGAAGGGAUAAAAUGGUCUCUGGAACCAGGCAUUUCUAGGUUUGGAUGCCAAGAGAAAAACAGAUGAAUUCAGUCUGAUUUCUCCACAGGCUGAGCCUGCUGCUGCUGCCACCUCCUGGGAGAAGACAAACCUUAGCUUCAUACCUGAAGCUACGCUAAUUUUCACCUGUGACUUGGGCAAAAGGCUCUACUGGGGCAGGGCUGAAAUUCCUUGGUCCUAGAUAAUACAAGGGAUAUCUCUUUACUUGGCAAAUAAAACAUUGGUAUUCUUCGCAUUUCAUUUGUUCUUUUUGGUGAUGCUAUGCUUAAAGAAAUGAUUUCAGACAACAGUAACAAAGUUGUGAUGAGUUAGUGUGGGAAGGAGAGUACAGAAAGAAGAUUGAGACAGAAUUGUUAGUUUUAGGAAUAUAUCAGAUUCCUUGGCUUUCUGAACCUUGAAUCCCAGGUGAUGUUAGGAAUGCAUACAAUUGAGAAUUUUACAAAAGAGAGGGUACACAUGAGCUUAGUGAAUCAAAACCUCCUAGAGUCUCGGUUUACUUGUGGGGCUGUUGUAAGGGCUGAGAUAAUUAAUACACAUAAGUUCCUGACAUGCAAGAAAAGGUUAGUGGGAAUUAUAAUGGGGCAAGUUUACUUUUCCAAUCUCCCUUGUGAUUUUCCUCAUUUGCUGACCAAAGAUUUGGAUCAAUAGCCCCAUGCCUUUAAUUUUGCCCAACCUUCUGAUUUACAGAUGAUCCUUAAUCAAACCCCUUUGUUUUUAACAACACAAUUAUAAAUAAGUAAGAAUCAAUUCAGAAGACACUAAGAAUUCAGGAAAGAUUUCUUGAGUAUCUACUAUGUGUUAGCCUUAGGGGAUUUAAAGAGGAAUAAUGCAGAUGUAGACCUCAAUUUCCUUCCCAUCAGAUGCAUUAGGAAAAAAAAGAGAGAGAGAAUUGGGACCUGGGUUCCAGAUCCAGAUCUACAAACAACUCAGUGUAUAAAUGACUGAGGCACGACGGCUAAUGUAUGGGUGCUAGUUUCUUAAUCUACUGAACAACACUAUGGUAAAGGGACAUUUUUAAAUUUACGGCAGAGCUUGCCUUGACAGCAGCACACUGGAUACUGUGUUGUGCUUCAUCUGUUCCAAACACUGAAAGCUGUUAAACAAACCAUGAACUUUGAGUGAUCCUGGUGAAUUACAGCAAGAUCCUUUGGUCUGAAAAUUUUUCCUUCCUGAUUAAUGAAUUAUGGGUCUUGUUUUAACCAAUCACAUACACAGCUCUGAAUUUAUUCCAGCAUUCUAAAAAUUAAUUACCAAUUAGGCUCUCAGGGCUCUGCCCUCAUGAAUGGGAUGAACACUGUUACAAAAGGGCUGGAGGGUACUAGCUAGGCUUCUCUUUUCCCUUUCCAUCUCUUCCAUCAUGUGAGAACACAGCACUCCUCUCCAGAGGACAUAGCAACAAGGCAACGGCUUGGAAGCAGAGACUGGAUCAUCACCAGACAUUGAACCUGUUGGCAUAUUGAUCUUGAACUGCCAUCCUCCAGAACUUUGAGUUUCCAGAGUUGUGAGAAAUAAAUUUCUGUUCCUUAUAAAUUAUCCCACCUCAGGUAUUUUGUCA